GAACGAGAAAGUGGAGCAAUCCAUGAGUAAAGUGGCGACCGGGUGAGUAACACGUGACUAACCUACCUUCGAGUGGGGGAUAACCUCGGGAAACCGAGGCUAAUACCGCAUAACAUCGCAAGAUCAAAGCAGCAAUGCGCUUGAGGAGGGGGUCGCGGCCGAUUAGCUAGUUGGCGGGGUAAUGGCCCACCAAGGCGAUGAUCGGUAUCCGGCCUGAGAGGGCGCACGGACACACUGGAACUGAAACACGGUCCAGACUCCUACGGGAGGCAGCAGUGGGGAAUUUUGCGCAAUGGGGGAAACCCUGACGCAGCAACGCCGCGUGGAGGAUGAAAUCCCUUGGGAUGUAAACUCCUUUCGAUCGGGACGAUUAUGACGGUACCGGAAGAAGAAGCCCCGGCUAACUUCGUG
RNAcentral lists this ribosomal RNA (411 nucleotides) under uncultured bacterium. RNAcentral describes it as "bacterial SSU rRNA". It matches the Rfam family "Bacterial small subunit ribosomal RNA", at positions 64 to 507 of the family's 1533-position model. The record is from RNAcentral.